Molecule: non-coding RNA, 211 nt
Filed under: marine eukaryotic metagenome
Source: RNAcentral
GCUGUGAAGCAUAGAGUGAAGGAAGCGAGACUGCCCCAAAGGGAUGCCGUUGGCACAAACCCCGGUUCCAACGAACAGGAAUUGGAUACGGAGGCUUGACAGAUCGGAUGAGGUAGCACGACCUGUCCCGAAAAUCGGGAUCAUACUGACGUCCAAAGGGUGGGAAACCAUCAAGUAUCUAUCAGGUAGAUCCAAUGGACAUUGGGGAAAG